GACGAACGCUGGCGGCGUGCUUAACACAUGCAAGUCGAACGGUGAAGCUCCAGCUUGCUGGAGUGUAUCAGUGGCGAACGGGUGAGUAACACGUGAGCAACCUGCCCCUGACUCUGGAAUAAGCGCUGGAAACGGCGUCUAAUACUGGAUACGAGAAGGGUCCGCAUGGGCACUUUCUGGAAAGUUUUUCGGUUGGGGAUGGGCUCGCGGCCUAUCAGCUUGUUGGUGAGGUAAUGGCUCACCAAGGCGACGACGGGUAGCCGGCCUGAGAGGGCGACCGGCCACACUGGGACUGAGACACGGCCCAGACUCCUACGGGAGGCAGCAGUGGGGAAUAUUGCACAAUGGGCGAAAGCCUGAUGCAGCGACGCCGCGUGAGGGAUGACGGCCUUCGGGUUGUAAACCUCUUUCAGCAGGGAAGAAGCGAAAGUGACGGUACCUGCAGAAGAAGCACCGGCUAACUACGU
This 467-nucleotide ribosomal RNA is filed under the name uncultured bacterium. RNAcentral's name for it is "partial 16S ribosomal RNA". It matches the Rfam family "Bacterial small subunit ribosomal RNA", at positions 28 to 506 of the family's 1533-position model. The record is from RNAcentral.